GUGCUACGCCAAUGACAACAAAGUUAAGGAAACGAUUUUUUAUACAUAUACAAACGUUACAAAGAGUAUAAAGAAUUUAGAAUACAAGUCAGUUAAGCUGAAAAAAUAAAAUAAAUUAUUGUAAAGACUCUUUGAUUGUAAAGUAUAUAAUAAAUGUGAAAGUAACUACUUGAUACUUGAAAUGAAAUUAUAGUUUUAUGUCAUUUUCUACAAUGAAAGAAGAUAUAGCUUUGUAAAUAUCAAUAUUAAAUACGAGUAAAUUAGAAAUACAAGUGGGAAGAGGAAUAUUAUGGGAUAUGAGACGAUUUAUGAAUGAAGAACGAUCAUAACGUGGACAAGAGAAGAAAAUGUGAUUAAGGUCUCCGACCUCCUCACCACAUUCACAAGCACUACUGCCAAUAAUAUGAAGCCUGGCAAGAUUUUACAAAUUCUAUGCAGACGUGCCCGUUUUCUUUUAUUUACAUUGGAUGUUGAACAAUCAGUAUCCAUACUAGAGGCAGUAUCUACAGUUAUGAACUGUGAAGGUUCAGGAACAACACCCCAGGGUCUGGGGGCUCCUUCAUCCUGCUCAUAAUAUAUUAAAUUUUAUUAAAAAAAAACUUACCAA
RNAcentral lists this long non-coding RNA (607 nucleotides) under Manduca sexta (tobacco hornworm). RNAcentral describes it as "uncharacterized LOC119188894". Lineage: Eukaryota; Metazoa; Arthropoda; Insecta; Lepidoptera; Sphingidae. The record is from RNAcentral.